This 605-nucleotide small RNA is filed under the name Pan troglodytes (chimpanzee). Its description in RNAcentral is "processed transcript". Lineage: Eukaryota; Metazoa; Chordata; Mammalia; Primates; Hominidae. The record is from RNAcentral.
GCGGCGGCCGUUGCGAUUGAUUGCGCUGGUUACCUGCGGAGUCCACUUCCUUGGCCGCCCUUGCUACACUGGCUGAUUGUUGUGCAGCCGGCGCCAUGUCUGUGAGCGAGAUCUUCGUGGAGCUGCAGGGCUUUUUGGCUGCCGAGCAGGACAUCCGAGAGUUCCAAAGAGGUGUUUGAAAGCUCGAGAACAUUUUGGUACAGUAAAAACACAUCUAACAUCUUUGAAGACCAAAUUUCCUGCUGAACAGUAUUACAGAUUUCAUGAGCACUGGAGGUUUGUGUUGCAGCGCUUGGUCUUCUUGGCAGCAUUUGUUGUGUAUUUGGAAACAGAAACACUAGUGACUCGAGAAGCAGUUACAGAAAUUCUUGGCAUUGAGCCAGAUCGGGAGAAAGGAUUUCAUCUGGAUGUAGAAGAUUAUCUCUCAGGAGUUCUAAUUCUUGCCAGUGAACUGUCGAGGCUGUCUGUCAACAGCGUGACUGCUGGAGACUACUCCCGACCCCUCCACAUCUCCACCUUCAUCAAUGAGCUGGAUUCUGGUUUUCGCCUUCUCAACCUGAAAAAUGACUCCCUGAGGAAGCGCUACGACGGAUUGAAAUAUGACG